This 71-nucleotide ribosomal RNA is filed under the name Acacia suaveolens. RNAcentral describes it as "partial large subunit ribosomal RNA". It matches the Rfam family "Eukaryotic large subunit ribosomal RNA", at positions 1 to 69 of the family's 3401-position model. Lineage: Eukaryota; Viridiplantae; Streptophyta; Magnoliopsida; Fabales; Fabaceae. The record is from RNAcentral.
CGCGACCCCAGGUCAGGCGGGGCUACCCGCUGAGUUUAAGCAUAUCAAUAAGCGGAGGAAAAGAAACUAUC